CUACCGGCGUCGAGAGGCGGCGGGAUGGCUGUGCAGAAGUCAGCAGAGGGCAUAGUGGGCCGAGAGGCUGAAGGCC
This 76-nucleotide non-coding RNA is filed under the name Paraburkholderia silvatlantica. Lineage: Bacteria; Pseudomonadati; Pseudomonadota; Betaproteobacteria; Burkholderiales; Burkholderiaceae. The record is from RNAcentral.